Small nuclear RNA from Chionomys nivalis (European snow vole), 107 nucleotides. NCBI's taxonomy places the organism in Eukaryota, Metazoa, Chordata, Mammalia, Rodentia, Cricetidae. The record is from RefSeq and is a predicted model, not a curated record.
GUGCUUGCUUUGUCAGCACAUAUAUUAAAAUUGGAAUUCUACAAAUAAGAUUAGUUUGGCCCCUGUGCAAGGAUGACACACAAACUUGUGAAGCAUCCAUACUUUUA